RNAcentral lists this long non-coding RNA (290 nucleotides) under Sorghum bicolor (sorghum). RNAcentral describes it as "long non-coding RNA (SBIC_LNC015488)". Lineage: Eukaryota; Viridiplantae; Streptophyta; Magnoliopsida; Poales; Poaceae. The record is from RNAcentral.
GGCAUGUACCAACCUCAUUAAGUCUACACACACUUAGUAUAGAGGUUAGUACUAGGGUUUCAUCAAUUAUCCAAAACCAAACUUGGGCUUUCAACUGGGAGGCACUGAUUUUUUUGCACUUGAUGCUCUUCUACUUUGUUGUCUGGGUUGCUAAAUAAUACAUGGAGCAUAUUUAUGUUACUGUUUUAAAAUUAAGUGAUUGCUCCAUCUCUUCCGUUUGGUGUUUGUAGCUAAAGAAAGCGUGAAUCUCUUCUUUUCAAAAGGUGGUUGAAAGUACGAAAUUUUCCAGC